UCAGAACUUGGGUUUGAAAAGGAAACUGAUUUGGAAACUUCUGGAGAAAAAGAAAAGAAACAAGAGGAUCAAUAACCCAGUUCGAAAAAGACAGAUUUGAUUGGAAUAAAGACUGAAGCCUAUGCUAUUGCUGAUAAGAGUUGAUUAGGUAUUCAUUUUUUUUUUCUCUUCACUCGUAUACUUGUCAUAGAUUGUUCACAACCAAGAUAAUUGAGCACUAUAGGGUUUUGAUUAGACUCUGCCAUAAAAUUUUUGUUUGUGUAUUUUAGCCUUCGGUUGGAUGAUAUCUAUUCAAUUGACAAAGGCCAAAGGUUCCUUUUAAUUGCUUGUGUCCAAAUCUUCUAAGCACUUUCUUUUAGCUGAUCAUUCACAGCUGAGCAAUUUGUAACUAUGGCCAACAUAUUGACCGUUAAUAUGAAACACUGAAAUUCACGAUAAUGAUUUUAUCAAAGUUUCAAUCUCGCCAGACAAAUAUUUGUGGUAGAAUAUGCUGCAGCAGAGAUCAUCAAAACGAUAACAAGUUCUCAAAUCCUAGCUUUCCAAAAAACAUAAGAGGGUUCAAAACUUGAAGGACAAAUUUCCCCAUUUUUCCGAGGAAUCCAAUAAUCUUCUUCUUUAUUUUAAUCCAAGAUAGAGUUCCAUUGAUCGGAGAAAUAAAACAAUGAUCAAGGCCUACACUUAGCAUCAGAACAGGAAACACUAAGGCCCAAGUACAAUACAAAGUCAAAUAGGAAGAAGUCCAACUUGGAUUCUAAGACCCGAACCCACACUUAACCCGGCCAAAAGAUCCGAAAAGAAGUGGAUAUCAUGUCGCUACCUCUGGGUUCAACAAUCGCCCUAGUGAAGAACCGAUGGAAGAUUCAUCAACUGUGGCCAGGAGCACUGACUCUUUAACGCUUGGAUGUCUAAGGAAGGCCAGAAGCUCAGUCGAUCGCAUCCUCCAAAGACAGACCCUAUCUUUAGACUUAACAGGCAAUAUGGAAACCAGAUUUAGUUUGGAUGGGAAGUUGCUUCCACUUGAACAAAGAAAGAAACAAUCUCCCGAUCAACAUAGCCACCUCCCACGGUCAAGGGAAGCUUCUUACAGCUCACUAAUCGAACAACAAGGAGGCAACCGACGACUUAUAGUGAACUGUCUCACCAUCUAAGACCACCCACACGAACCGCCCCUCAGUACUAUUCGCUUAUAAGUCAUUUUAGUGUCAUAACUGAGAAAUCCCCAACCUGUAAAACAAAGACAGAAUCCAUUCAAGACCAAGAAGAAAAACAAAGCAGUUAAACCAAAAUCUCUCAAUAUGAAGUUUGACUGCCACCCCACUUUACUGUGGAGAGGGAAAAUCCACAGCAGCGCAGGAAGAGGCCCUUCACCAUUCGGAAGGGCAAAGAGAGCUUCCUACUAAGACAGAAAAAUUGGUGAUGACCCGAACAGACCUAUCUCACCAAGAAUUGACGAUCAGAAUGCAUUUCUGUAUGGUCGUUGGAAUCCAUUUAUCAAUAACCAAUAUAUUCAUUUU
RNAcentral lists this long non-coding RNA (1514 nucleotides) under Manihot esculenta (cassava). Its description in RNAcentral is "long non-coding RNA (MESC_LNC006376)". Lineage: Eukaryota; Viridiplantae; Streptophyta; Magnoliopsida; Malpighiales; Euphorbiaceae. The record is from RNAcentral.